GACGACCGCUGCCGGUGUGCUUAACCACAUGCAAGUCGAACGAAGACCGAUGAAAGCUUGCUUCUAUCAAUCUUAGUGGCGAACGGGUGAGUAACGCGUAAUCAACCUGCCCUUCAGAGGGGGACAACAGUUGGAAACGACUGCUAAUACCGCAUACGAUCCAAUCUCGGCAUCGAGACUGGAUGAAAGGUGGCCUCUAUUUAUAAGCUAUCACUGAAGGAGGGGAUUGCGUCUGAUUAGCUAGUUGGAGGGGUAACGGCCCACCAAGGCGAUGAUCAGUAGCCGGUCUGAGAGGAUGAACGGCCACAUUGGGACUGAGACACGGCCCAGACUCCUACGGGAGGCAGCAGUGGGGAAUCUUCCGCAAUGGACGAAAGUCUGACGGAGCAACGCCGCGUGGGUGAUGACGGCCUUCGGGUUGUAAAGCUCUGUUAAUCGGGACGAAUGGUUCUUGUGCGAAUAGUGCGAGGAUUUGACGGUACCGGAAUAGAAAGCCACG
This 499-nucleotide ribosomal RNA is filed under the name Veillonella atypica. RNAcentral describes it as "bacterial SSU rRNA". It matches the Rfam family "Bacterial small subunit ribosomal RNA", at positions 28 to 495 of the family's 1533-position model. The record is from RNAcentral. Lineage: Bacteria; Bacillati; Bacillota; Negativicutes; Veillonellales; Veillonellaceae.